Brienomyrus brachyistius is the source of this 996-nucleotide long non-coding RNA. RefSeq lists it as uncharacterized. The transcript is spliced from 3 exons. The record is from RefSeq and is a predicted model, not a curated record. NCBI's taxonomy places the organism in Eukaryota, Metazoa, Chordata, Actinopteri, Osteoglossiformes, Mormyridae.
GCAUUGUGAGCAGGUAUACAGGCCCACAGAGCAUGCAGAUAAUUAUCUGUGACACCCAUGGUGCACUGUGAACAGGUAUACAGGCCAACAGAGCAUGCAGAUAAUUAUCUGUGACACCCAUUGUACACUGUGAGCAGGUAUACAGGCCAACAGAGCAUGCAGAUAAUUAUCUGUGACACCCAUUGUACACUGUGAGCAGGUAUACAGGCCCACAGAGCAUGCAGAUAAUUAUCUGUGACACCCAUGGUGCACUGUGAGCAGGUAUACAGGCCCACAGAGCAUGCAGAUAAUUAUCUGUGACACCCAUGGUGCACUGUGAGCAGGUAUACAGGCCCACAGAGCAUGCAGAUAAUUAUCUGUGACACCCAUGGUGCACUGUGAGCAGGUAUACAGGCCAACAGAGCAUGCAGAUAAUUAUCUGUGACACCCAUGGUGCACUGUGAGCAGGUAUACAGGCCAACAGAGCAUGCAGAUAAUUAUCUGUGACACCCAUGGUGCACUGUGAGCAGGUAUACAGGCCCACAGAGCAUGCAGAUAAUUACCUGUGACACCCAUGGUGCACUGUGAGCAGGUAUACAGGCCCACAGAGCAUGCAGAUAAUUAUCUGUGACACCUAUUGUACACUGUGAGCAGGUAUACAGGCCCACAGAGCAUGCAGAUAAUUAUCUGUGACACCCAUGGUGCACUGUGAGCAGGUAUACAGGCCCACAGAACAUGCAGAUAAUUAUCUGUGACACCCAUGGUGCACUGUGAGCAGGUAUACAGGCCAACAGAGCAUGCAGAUAGUUAUCUGUGACACCCAUUGUACACUGUGAGCAGGUAUACAGGCCAACAGAGCAUGCAGAUAAUUAUCUGUGACACCCACUGUACACUGUGAGCAGGUAUACAGGCCCACAGAGCAUGCAGAUAAUUAUCUGUGACACCCCUUGUACACUGUGAGCAGGUAUCAGUACUGACUACUUUUUAUAUUGAGUCAUAUGUUUUAUGUGAAUUACU